AUUGAACGCUGGCGGAAUGCUUUACACAUGCAAGUCGAACGGUAACAGGUUAAGCUGACGAGUGGCGAACGGGUGCGUAAUGCAUCGGAACGUGCCCAAUCGUGGGGGCUAACGCAGCGAAAGCUGCGCUAAUACCGCAUACGAUCUGAGGGUGAAAGUGGGGGACCGCAAGGCCUCAUGCUAGAGGACCGGCCGAUGUCUGGUAGCUAGUUGGUGGGGUAAAGGCCUACCAAGACGACGAUCAGUAGCUGGUCUGAGAGGACGAGCAGCCAGACUGGGACUGAGACACGGCCCAGACUCCGACGGGAGGCAGCAGUGGGGAAUUUUGGACAAUGGGCGAAAGCCUGAUCCAGCAAUGCCGCGUGUGUGAAGAAGGCCUUCGGGUUGUAAAGCACUUUUGUCCGGAAAGAAAUGGCUCUAGUUAAUACCUGGGGUCGAUGACGGUACCGGAAGAAUAAGAACCGGCUAACUACGUGCCAGCCGCCGCAGUAA
This 492-nucleotide ribosomal RNA is filed under the name uncultured bacterium. RNAcentral's name for it is "partial 16S ribosomal RNA". It matches the Rfam family "Bacterial small subunit ribosomal RNA", at positions 29 to 523 of the family's 1533-position model. The record is from RNAcentral.